CCUACGGGUGGCAGCAGUGAGGAAUAUUGGUCAAUGGACGAGAGUCUGAACCAGCCAAGUAGCGUGAAGGAUGACUGCCCUAUGGGUUGUAAACUUCUUUUAUAAAGGAAUAAAACGAGGCACGUGUGCCUUUUUGCAUGUACUUUAUGAAUAAGGAUCGGCUAACUCCGUGCCAGCAGCCGCGGUAAUACGGAGGAUCCGAUCGUUAUCCGGAUUUAUUGGGUUUAAAGGGAGCGUAGAUGGGUUGUUAAGUCAGUUGUGAAAUUUUGCGGCUCAACCGUAAAAUUGCAAUUGAUACUGGCAGUCUUGAGUACAGUUGAGGUAGGCGGAAUUCGUGGUGUAGCGGUGAAAUGCUUAGAUAUCACGAAGAACCCCGAUUGCGAAGGCAGCUUACUAAACUGUGACUGACAUUGAUGCUCGAAAGUGUGGGUAUCAAACAGGAUUAGAUACCCCUGUAGUC
This 460-nucleotide ribosomal RNA is filed under the name uncultured bacterium. RNAcentral describes it as "partial 16S ribosomal RNA". It matches the Rfam family "Bacterial small subunit ribosomal RNA", at positions 338 to 795 of the family's 1533-position model. The record is from RNAcentral.